CCUCCUUUCUUCCGCCGUUCUUACUAUUGUUCCCUGGGCGCGCUCCUGAACCAGCCAAGCCGCGUGAGGGAAGACGGCCCUAUGGGUUGUAAACCUCUUUUGUCGGAGAACAAAACCCGGGACGUGUCCCGGACUGCGUGUAUCCGAAGAAAAAGCAUCGGCUAACUCCGUGCCAGCAGCCGCGGUAAUACGGAGGAUGCGAGCGUUAUCCGGAUUUAUUGGGUUUAAAGGGUGCGUAGGCGGUCCGUUAAGUCAGCGGUAAAAUUGCGGUGCUCAACCCCGUCGAGCCGUUGAACCUGGCAGACUUGAGUUGGCGAGAAGUACGCGGAAUGCGCGGUGUAGCGGUGAAAUGCAUAGAUAUCGCGCAGAACUCCGAUUGCGAAGGCAGCGUACCGGCGCCAGACUGACGCUGAGGCACGAAAGCGUGGGGAUCGAACAGGAUUAGAUACCCGUGUAGUC
RNAcentral lists this ribosomal RNA (459 nucleotides) under uncultured bacterium. RNAcentral's name for it is "partial 16S ribosomal RNA". It matches the Rfam family "Bacterial small subunit ribosomal RNA", at positions 338 to 795 of the family's 1533-position model. The record is from RNAcentral.